This 1476-nucleotide long non-coding RNA is filed under the name Nicotiana tabacum (common tobacco). RNAcentral describes it as "long non-coding RNA (NTAB_LNC016524)". The record is from RNAcentral. Lineage: Eukaryota; Viridiplantae; Streptophyta; Magnoliopsida; Solanales; Solanaceae.
GAGUGACUCCAUUUAUUAAACAACAAAAUUCAGUCCAGUCCUCAAUCUGGCCUUAAUAACAGAAGGUGUAUUAAUCAAAGGCAAGAAAAUGAUUAAAAUCUCCAAUGAUUCAUACUAUCAAACUUUCAUUAUCCAGUGAUCAAGAAGUACUCCCUCAAGUCAAGAAAUAUUCAAUCAAUUCCCCGUUUACCUUAAAAUCCCACAAGCAAACAGUUGGAGUCACAACCUUAAAAACCCUUUCAAAAACUGAUUUGAAAAGAGAAAAGGCACAUAACAUAUGCUGAUUAUCUCGUCAAGUAGCUCUAAUAGCACAAGCGACAUAGAAGCAUAAAUUCAAACACAUAUCCGCGUCAUUUGACCCUUUAAACGAGUCCAUCGGAGAAGAAUAAAGCAGACUAAAACGACACACGUAGCGACACGAAGCAAAGAGAGUGGCACAUUUCAAGAAUCCAUUCAAUCAUAAACAGAAGCCUACUUUAGUCGAUCGUGUUAGACUCGAACAUAUUCUAAGAUUAUAAGACGUAUGCACACACAGGACACAGCAGAACACAUGAUGGUGUAACUUAAUCCAGACUUAAUACUAUCUGAAAAUCACGAGAUUCUCUCUGUUAACGCCCAGAUUCGAUUAUUUAUCUCUAAAACAUGUCAAGCAAAUUCAAACUUCUAAGUCCAUUUUAUCAUACUUCGAAUCAACAUUAACAGAGCAAGAGAAUAAAGACGAACCUGGAAAUUAAGCUUACGAUUAAUUCUGUAGGAAUCGAUUACAACAGAAGAGGAUUUGGUGACGAACUUGAGAAUGAAAACAGCUACUGAAAAUCCAGAGUCAACAAUGAAGUAACAGAGCAGGAAGCCAGCUCAGGGAACGCGGACACGAACACCUCAACUGGCGAACAAAUCUUCAGCACUCAACAACACUUCAAUCGAAUCCCAUGACGGAAAAUGAAAACAGAAACUGAAAAUAAUUUUUUUUUCGUUUUCUUUUUUUUUGUAUUUCUGGAAGCGAAAAAUAAAAAUAAAAAUGGAAGAAUUAGAUGAAAGCCUCAAGAACCCUAAAACCCUAAUUUCUUCAAGUGCUUUUUCUCAAUCUCCCCCCCCCCCUCCCCUUUUCUUUGUCUAAAGGCUCCAAAUAUAUAUCCUUCUCUCGAAGCUUCUUCUUCCUCAGCAAGAAACAUGUGGGACCCUAAAAUCAAAUCCGAAAAUCCCCCUUUCACAAACAAAAAUCGAAAAAAUGGAGACUUUGGAUAAAAAUCUUCAUCCAACGGUUCCCAUUUCUCCCAAAUUUAUUCAAGGGCCUCGGAUUUGUGUUUAAACAAAAGAAAUAAAAGAAGAAAUCCGUAUGAAUUGGAUUGAAAUGAUGAGAUUUGUAUGGAAUGAGUGACGUGGAAGAAAGAGAGAAGAGAGGGGGGACCAUGGGACUCGUUGAGGGUGAACUCGCCCGAUUUCGACGAGUUGGAAGCCGCAAGAGCAUGGAGAUGG